Molecule: small nuclear RNA, 20 nt
Filed under: Arabidopsis thaliana (thale cress)
Lineage: Eukaryota; Viridiplantae; Streptophyta; Magnoliopsida; Brassicales; Brassicaceae
Description: snRNA_13297
Source: RNAcentral
GAGUUUGUGCGUGAAUCUAA